This 263-nucleotide ribosomal RNA is filed under the name uncultured prokaryote. RNAcentral's name for it is "partial 16S ribosomal RNA". It matches the Rfam family "Bacterial small subunit ribosomal RNA", at positions 524 to 788 of the family's 1533-position model. The record is from RNAcentral.
UACGUAGGGGCGAGCGUUGUCCGGAAUUAUUGGGCGUAAAGGGCGCGCAGGCGGCCGAUUAAGUCGGAUGUGAAAGGCCACGGCUCAACCGUGGAGUUGCAUCUGAAACUGGUUGGCUUGAGUGCAGGAGAGGAGAGCGGAAUUCCCGGUGUAGCGGUGAAAUGCGUAGAGAUCGGAGGAACACCAGUGGCGAAGGCGGCUCUCUGGCCUGUUACUGACGCUGAGGCGCGAAAGCGUGGGUAGCGAACAGGAUUAGAUACCCU